AUCAUUUAAUUUUCUCCUCUUCUCUUCUCCUAUCUACAGCCAUCCCUCAACAAGUACCUGAUAUUAUCUUCUGUUAGCAACUCUUCCCGUGUUGCUUUGCUCCUAUACUUUGUCCUUUUAGUGGUCUCAAGUUGAAAAUCUUUGCUUGGUAGAUUCCCUUUCCCUUUUUUUUGGGUGCAAAUGAGGUGAAACCAGGACAUGGUUAAUCAAGUUCCCUUUACUGAAUGUAUCAAGCGUAUGACUAUCUGUGCUAGGAGAACUAUGCCUGCUGAAUCUUUUUCUCCUCGAUCCUUUCUAGUAUUUUAUAUGGUAGGCCUAAGGAAGU
This 325-nucleotide unclassified non-coding RNA is filed under the name Hevea brasiliensis (rubber tree). The record is from RNAcentral. Lineage: Eukaryota; Viridiplantae; Streptophyta; Magnoliopsida; Malpighiales; Euphorbiaceae.